This is a long non-coding RNA of Perca flavescens (yellow perch), 1171 nucleotides long. RefSeq lists it as uncharacterized. The record is from RefSeq and is a predicted model, not a curated record. The transcript has 6 exons. NCBI's taxonomy places the organism in Eukaryota, Metazoa, Chordata, Actinopteri, Perciformes, Percidae.
AACGCUGGGUUAUUUUAAUAACCCAAUUGCUGGGUUAAGGCUGUUGGGUUAUAGGUUGGGUAGAUUUGACCCAACGUUGGGUCAAAGAUUGUGACCCAACACGAUGGGUUAAAUGAAAGCGAGGCUCGUUCUUCCGCCAUUUCUGGACAGAAGGCGCCAGGACGUCAACGACCAUAGCUGCCGGUUUAAAGUCCCAGCCCCAAACCGGCUGCCUUCAGAGCAACGCAGAGCUUCUUUGGAACAAGGAGCAACAUUUAAUAUCCGUAUGAGAUCCUUAAGACAGCUGAUGGGAAAUGCAUGGUUAGUGGUCCUGAGGAACAGAAUCACAUAAAUAAUGAAAGACGUGUCAUGGUCCGGAUACUUGUGUCCCACUAGUUGUGCACUUUGGAGAGAAUCCAUCUUCAGGUACAAAGGCUAUGCUGGCAUCAUCAAUUGUGGAUCAGUUUCCAUGCCUGAAGGACUGUCAAGGCACAGGCUACGACGACGCAUGGUUCACCCCAGGGAGAGGGCAUAAACCCACAACAGGCUUUCUGGAAGAGCAUCUCCGUAAUUUCUGAAAAAGACUCCACUCUGGCAGACGAGUACAUUUAACAUCACAAGUGCCACAAGACACCCGAGUCAUUUUACCAGAACCAACUAGAACUCCAGAGCGGUUCAUCCAGUUGACGGAGUGACUGAAGAACAACAUCUGGCCACAGUCCCAGGUUGGCCAACACAUGCUGGAGACUGCCAUCCAUAGGGCCCAGUGGAUCCCAUCACUGGGACUACAUCAAUGCUAGACAUUAUCACAGAGUUUCCAUGCUUAGUGGACACUCCAGGCAUGGUGAACUAGAAUCUUACAAAAUAAAAUGUUGUGUUGUGGUGCUGGGAUUGUUUUUCGAUGUCAACUUUGUGCUAAAUUUUGGGAGUUCAUCUAGACUACCGUCUUUCAGAUACCAGGACUUGAAUCAAACACUGUCAAAUUAAUGAGAGCUCAGAUUGCUAGUUGAUAGUUCAAUGCAUGAAGUUUGAGAAAUUGUGACUAUUUUGUCCGUUUAAUGAUGUAAUAAAUAGAGAUGCACCGAUUUCAACUUACUAGGCUGUUUCAAAUUUCCAAGUUUUCAUUGAGUUUGAUCUGCCGAUAUCGAUUUUAGCCGAUUCCAAUUUCAUAUUUUCUAACGACUUUCCAGCA